This 216-nucleotide ribosomal RNA is filed under the name Glomeromycotina sp. Its description in RNAcentral is "partial small subunit ribosomal RNA". The stretch from base 40 to 216 matches the Rfam family "Eukaryotic small subunit ribosomal RNA", at positions 686 to 864 of the family's 1831-position model. Lineage: Eukaryota; Fungi; Glomeromycota. The record is from RNAcentral.
GGGUCAGUAGGUUGGACGUGCCACCGGUACGUACUGGUCUCACUGAUUCCUCCUUCCUGAAGAACCGUAAUGCCAUUAAUUUGGUGUUGCGGGGAAUCAGGACUGUUACUUUGAAAAAAUUAGAGUGUUUAAAGCAAGCUAACGCUUGAAUACAUUAGCAUGGAAUAAUGAAAUAGGACGAUCGAUCCUAUUUUGUUGGUUUCUAGGAUUGACGUA